This 334-nucleotide ribosomal RNA is filed under the name uncultured Actinomycetes bacterium. RNAcentral describes it as "bacterial SSU rRNA". It matches the Rfam family "Bacterial small subunit ribosomal RNA", at positions 28 to 351 of the family's 1533-position model. Lineage: Bacteria; Bacillati; Actinomycetota; Actinomycetes. The record is from RNAcentral.
GAUGAACGCUGGCGGCGUGCCUAAUGCAUGCAAGUCGAGCGACGCACGUCGGAGGGGUAACCCACCGGCAUGACGGAGCGGCGAACGGGUGAGUAACACGUGAGCAACCUGCCCCACAGAUCGGGAUAGCCCAGGGAAACCUGGAUUAAUACCGGAUGUCCUCGUAGGACCGCAUGGUCCAUCGAGGAAAUGCCUUUGUGCUGUGGGAUGGGCUCGCGGCUUAUCAGCUAGUUGGUGGGGUAACGGCUCACCAAGGCCACGAUGCGUAGCCGACCUGAGAGGGUGAUCGGCCACACUGGGACUGAGACACGGCCCAGACUCCUACGGGAGGCUG